Molecule: ribosomal RNA, 308 nt
Filed under: Rhipicephalus sanguineus (brown dog tick)
Lineage: Eukaryota; Metazoa; Arthropoda; Arachnida; Ixodida; Ixodidae
Description: partial 16S ribosomal RNA
Source: RNAcentral
UCUGCUCAAUGAUUUUUAAAUUGCUGUGGUAUUUUGACUAUACAAAGGUAUUGAAAUAAGAUUUUAAUUGAAGCCUAAGAGAAUGGAAUUUCAGAAAAAAACUUUUUUCAAGUUAAAAAUUGAAAUUUUUUUAAUUUGUGCAGAAACAAUUAUUAAUAUUAAGGACAAGAAGACCCUAUGAAUUUAUAAAUUUUAUUUAAUAUGUAACUACUAUUAAAAAAAUUUUAGCUGGGGCGGCGGAAAAAUAUUUAAAACUUUUUUAAAAUAAAAUGACCCAUUAUUAAUGAUUAUAUGUUAAAUACUCUAGG